GGACCUGUUGGACAUGGCUGCGGCGGGCGGCGGCUGCGGGUGCUGGGAGGCUGGCUGCAGAGUCUCAGGCGCGGGGACCACGGAGCGGGAGUGGCAGAGGACGGGGCGCCGCCUAGGGCGCAGUUUUUAUAACCCGGGUUAUCAUUUGGACUCACUGCUCCUGGAGGCCAUUUUCUCCAUUUUGUUGUUGCUGCCUGUGACAGAGAGAAGUUGAGGGAGAUGGGGAAGACAGAGAUGGAGAGAGAAAGAUAGACACCUGCAGACCUGCUUCACCACCACCACCUGUAAAGAGAUCCCUCUGCAGGUAGAGACAGAGGCAGAGGGAAAGAAAGAAAGAUGCCACUGCAUUGAAGCUUCCUUCACUUCUGUGGGGCCUGGGCUAUAACAUAGGUUGUGCACAUAACAGAGCAGGCCCACUAUCCAGGUGAACUAUAUUGCUAGCCCUGAGAUGAACAUUUUCAUCUGGUUUAUAUUCUACUUCUUCAAAUGUAUCACUUUCAAAAUUGGACUGAAAGCCUACAAACCUCAACUGCUUACCUCUGAACUUUCCUGCCCUUUGAGGAUAAAAUAGCAAACUAUAAGAGUAGAAGCUUCCUUCACCAUUGCCACUUCUUUACCUUGGAAAUGCAGGUCAGUGGGUGUCCUGUUCACUGCUUCCUGUCACUAGUGAUGCUGUCACUCAUACUAGCUGUUUCCCACCUCCUCUCUGCAGUGCUCUGCUUACCUCUAUUCCUGUCUGGUCAUGACUCCUCUCCUUAAUAAGAACUACACUCCUGGUAUUUCCUGAUGGUCCAAACUGAAUCACUCACACCCUCACUAGAAUGCUAGCUCCAAGAAUGCUUGGAAUUCUCUCUCUUUUGUUCACUAUCUUGGUAAACUGGAUACCUGGUA
Erinaceus europaeus (western European hedgehog) is the source of this 891-nucleotide long non-coding RNA. RefSeq lists it as uncharacterized. The record is from RefSeq and is a predicted model, not a curated record. Lineage: Eukaryota; Metazoa; Chordata; Mammalia; Eulipotyphla; Erinaceidae. The transcript is spliced from 3 exons.